RNAcentral lists this ribosomal RNA (253 nucleotides) under uncultured bacterium. RNAcentral describes it as "partial 16S ribosomal RNA". It matches the Rfam family "Bacterial small subunit ribosomal RNA", at positions 524 to 776 of the family's 1533-position model. The record is from RNAcentral.
UACGUAGGGUGCAAGCGUUGUCCGGAAUUAUUGGGCGUAAAGAGCUUGUAGGUGGUUUGUCGCGUCUGCUGUGAAAAUCCGAGGCUCAACCUCGGACUUGCAGUGGGUACGGGCAGACUAGAGUGUGGUAGGGGAGACUGGAAUUCCUGGUGUAGCGGUGGAAUGCGCAGAUAUCAGGAGGAACACCGAUGGCGAAGGCAGGUCUCUGGGCCAGCACUGACACUGAAGCACGAAAGCGUGGGGAGCAAACAGG